UCCCGGUUAGCUAAGGUGGUACAGCGCUCCGCUUAAAAUGGAGAGGUCCCGGGUUCGGUACCCGGACCAGGCG
Non-coding RNA from Ixodes scapularis (black-legged tick), 73 nucleotides. NCBI's taxonomy places the organism in Eukaryota, Metazoa, Arthropoda, Arachnida, Ixodida, Ixodidae. The record is from Rfam.